GAACGAAAGUCUUCGGAUUUUAGUGGCGGACGGGUGAGUAACGCGUGAGGAUCUGCCUAUAGGUUGGGGACAACAGAUGGAAACGUCUGCUAAUACCCAAUGUGCCGAGAGGUGAAAGCUUUAGUGCCUGUAGAUGAGCUCGCGUCCGAUUAGCUAGUUGGUAGGGUAAAGGCUUACCAAGGCGACGAUCGGUAGCUGGUCUGAGAGGAUGAUCAGCCACACUGGGACUGAGACACGGCCCAGACUCCUACGGGAGGCAGCAGUGGGGAAUUUUCCGCAAUGGGCGAAAGCCUGACGGAGCAAUACCGCGUGCGGGACGAAGGCUUUUGGGUCGUAAACCGCUUUUGUUAGGGAAGAACGCAAUGACGGUACCUAACGAAUCAGCAUCGGCUAACUCCGUGCCAGCAGCCGCGGUAAUACGGGGGAUGCAAGCGUUAUCCGGAAUUAUUGGGCGUAAAGCGUCCGCAGGUGGUUUAUCAAGUCUGCUGUUAAAUCGUAGGGCUUAACCCCUAUAAAGGCAGUGGAAAACUGAGAGACUAGAGUAUGGUAGGGGU
RNAcentral lists this ribosomal RNA (554 nucleotides) under cyanobacterium enrichment culture clone 2_10_2.2.4_B10-T7. RNAcentral describes it as "bacterial SSU rRNA". It matches the Rfam family "Bacterial small subunit ribosomal RNA", at positions 64 to 658 of the family's 1533-position model. The record is from RNAcentral. Lineage: Bacteria; Bacillati; Cyanobacteriota.